CAGAUGCUGAAUGCUGUUCUGUCCAGAUGACAAAACUGCAGAAAUACAGCUGUUGCUGUAUCUCGGGAGUAUCAAAGGAGGCAUCAACCAAAGUGGACAAAUUUACUCUGACAUUUAAACACUUCUUGUUGUGUGAGGAAUGAAAGAAAUGUACUCCAAAGACUUCCUGGCAAAUUAAGUGGAAGGAACUUCUUGUGCCUUUUUGAUACAAAACGUUUUAGCAGAUGAGAAACACUGUGUUCUUUUGUGAAGUCACACAUCCUUGAGUACUGUGCUGACAUCUUGCAAAAUGAAGCCAUCAGCAAUGUUUGAGUGUGAGCAUCCAUGUCCCAGCUGAGGCUUUAUUAUACUCUACAGCCAGGCAGGCAUUGUAUCCAUGGCCUUUCUCAUGCUUCCCUCUAGGCAAGGAGGCUUUGGCAUAUUUGAUCUAUAACUAACCACGACUCACAAAGCCUUUAACUUAUCAAGACUGCUGUCAUAUGUA
Molecule: long non-coding RNA, 484 nt
Organism: Lagopus leucura (white-tailed ptarmigan)
Lineage: Eukaryota; Metazoa; Chordata; Aves; Galliformes; Phasianidae
Exons: 3
Source: RefSeq, a predicted model, not a curated record